GAUGAACGCUGGCGGCGUGCCUAAUACAUGCAAGUCGAGCGAACAGAUGAGGAGCUUGCUCCUCUGACGUUAGCGGCGGACGGGUGAGUAACACGUGGAUAACCUACCUAUAAGACUGGGAUAACUUCGGGAAACCGGAGCUAAUACCGGAUAAUAUAUUGAACCGCAUGGUUCAAUAGUGAAAGACGGUUUUGCUGACACUUAUAGAUGGAUCCGCGCCGCAUUAGCUAGUUGGUAAGGUAACGGCUUACCAAGGCAACGAUGCGUAGCCGACCUGAGAGGGUGAUCGGCCACACUGGAACUGAGACACGGUCCAGACUCCUACGGGAGGCAGCAGUAGGGAAUCUUCCGCAAUGGGCGAAAGCCUGACGGAGCAACGCCGCGUGAGUGAUGAAGGUCUUCGGAUCGUAAAACUCUGUUAUUAGGGAAGAACAACUGUGUAAGUAACUAUGCACGUCUUGACGGUACCUAAUCAGAAAGCCACGGCUAACUACGUG
This 497-nucleotide ribosomal RNA is filed under the name uncultured bacterium. RNAcentral's name for it is "partial 16S ribosomal RNA". It matches the Rfam family "Bacterial small subunit ribosomal RNA", at positions 28 to 507 of the family's 1533-position model. The record is from RNAcentral.